Molecule: long non-coding RNA, 2535 nt
Organism: Callithrix jacchus (white-tufted-ear marmoset)
Lineage: Eukaryota; Metazoa; Chordata; Mammalia; Primates; Cebidae
Source: Ensembl
AUGUGUUACCAGAUAUCUGGGCCAUCCUUUAGCUCAGUCAAGUUAAAUGUAAAAUUAACCAUCACAGUCUUGAAUGGAUGUUUCUCUAAAGAAGACAUACCAAUGAUGAGAAGAUGCUCAACAUCUCUAGUCAUUAAGGAAAUGCAAAUCAAAACCGCCAUAAGCUACCAUUUCACAAUCAUCAGGAUGGAUGGCUAUUACGUAAAAAAAGGAAGUUAACAAGAGACACAUCAGGCUGAAAACUCUAUUCCCAUAUACACCUCACAUUGCAGUCGGCAUCUUGGAAGUAUUCUUCUCUUUCCCACUCAGCCUUCAACCCGUGUUAUGUUCCACUCACUCCUGGCAAACAACACGGCAGUAAGGAAAGAGGUAAGCAAAGGCUGAGUUGUCACCUGGCACACUUAGUAACUGGAAAAAACAGGCCCUGAACUGAUCCGCGCAUUCUAUAAAUUCUUUCCAACAGCAAACUGCAUCUGACACUAGCCCAAAACAAAGAGAGUGGGAGCUGAAGAUCUCCCUCCAGCUCUGCAGCCGUUGCUAGACGAACCACUGCUAAGCAGUGCAAACUGAAAUGGGUGCGAAGAACAUCAACCUCACUUUCAGCUUUAAUUUAAAAGAGGGAAGCUGCAGGCGACCAAGAAGAUAGUGAGGAAAACAAAAUACGUGUUAUCUUAUGAAAAAUUACUGUAUCAUAAGGAAAAAGAGAGUGCAGUCCGAAGGCUCAGAGGAAGAUCAUUUUUCUCAAGAAAAAUAAAAAAUCCUAGAAGCCCUCCAAAAGGCAAAAGAGGAUGUGGUUUCUAUGAACUAAAAACCAGAAACCCAAAGGAAAAGCAGGCUAAAUAAGAGAGGAGACUGGAAGAGACCUGGUUAAAAUAAAAAAUGGAUGUAAGAAAAUUAAAAAUGCAAUAGCAGAGUUUUACUUAUUGUUGGGAUGAAGAUGGUUGUAUCACUACUGCUGUAACUAGAGAAAAGUACCAGCUACAUGAAAAAAGCUACAGACGAGCCAUGGAUGCAAAAAAGUACAAAUAAAUUGCAGAGGGAAAGGGGCGUUCCUGGAUGAGCGGGGCUGGCAGCUGCUGUCAUCCCUGAGGGCAUUGCCUCUACCUGGGGGCACUGGUGGGCUAAGCAAUGAGCUACCAUUGGUGAAGAUGCUUGAUUAGGUCAAGGACAAGCUAGCUGAACUCUUACCAGUGUGCAUGGGCUGGCAUGGUCGCUUGGAAUCUGGAGGAGUCCCAACCACACAGCUAGGUCUUGUUAUUCACUAAGUUUUCCUCACCAGACUUCUGUUGAGUGAGCAGUGAUAAGGCUGGUCUAGAAGUGAAAGACAGGAAAGAUUUCAUAGUUUUGUGAUACUUGUAUCUCAAAGCCCUGACAUUUAAAAUAAUAGGUGAAUCCAACCCAACUCAAUUCCUGACUAGAUAGUAGAGGUAAGACUUACGUACCAGCCACCUGAAAGAGGAAAGGGCAAGGCUUUUCUGGGGGUAAAUAUCUAAUUCUGCCUCUCCUGUUCUCGUAUUUAUAACUUCUGCCAUGCAAUUAAAAAGUCACCAGGCGGGCAAAGAAUUAGGAAACAAGAUAUACAAUCAAAAUAAUAUGUCAAAUGAAGCAGACUCACAAAUGACCUAGAUGUUAGAAUUAUCAGGUACGGACACUGAAAUGACUUUUACAAGUAUAUUUAAAACAAAGAGCAAGAGAUUUACAAAAUGAAUGAAAGAAAAUGGUGGAUUGAUUCAGAUAAAUAGAAAUCCCAAAAAAGAAACAAAUGGAAACUGUAAAACUGAGAUAUACAAUGUCUGAAAUGAAGAAUUCAUUUGCUGGGCUUAACAGUGGACUGAGAAAAGCAGGAAAAGGACUUAGUGAAACCAAAGACAGGUCAAUGGAAAUCACCCAAACUAAUGAAUACAGAGAAAAAAGUAUAAAAUCAUAGUAAAAGAAGGGAGAGAGGAAAAGACAGAUUCAGAGACAGAAACAGAGAAUAAUAAGGAAGAAGAAAUAUUUGAAAAGAAAAUAGCUGAUAAUUUCUCAAAAUUGGUAAAACUCAACACCCAGAUAUGAAAAGGCUUAGUAGAACUUUAAGUAGCAUAAAAACAAAUAAGUUUACACCUAAAACACUGAAUAGUCAAACAUCUGCAAUCAAAAGUUAAAAAGAAAAUAUCAAAAACAGCCAGAAACACACACACACACGUGCGCGCGCGCACACACACACACACACACACACACACACCCCAGGCUCAGAUGGCUCUAUUGGCGAAUACUACAAAACAGUGAAAGGAAAAAUCAUACCAAUUCUGUGAAAAGUCUUCCAGAAAAUAGAAAAGGAAGGCACACCUCCCAACUUAUAAGGCCAGCAUUACCCUGAUACAAAACCAAUGAAAUAUAAGAAAACCACAUACAAUAACCCCCAUAAACACAGAUGGAACAUUCUUAGCAAAAUUUUAGCAACAACAUAUAGAAAUGAUAAUAUAACAUGACCAUGUGGGAUUUAUCCCAGGAUUGCAGGGUUGGCAUAGCAUUUAAAAAGUCAAUCAACACAAU